Non-coding RNA from Paramisgurnus dabryanus, 554 nucleotides. NCBI's taxonomy places the organism in Eukaryota, Metazoa, Chordata, Actinopteri, Cypriniformes, Cobitidae. The record is from RefSeq and is a predicted model, not a curated record.
UCCGGUUCAGUUCUGAAACUCAGCUCUGGGAACACAGCAAGAAAGUGAACUUCAAACAAGCCUCCAAGUAUAAGAUCUCCAUCCUGCUUCAAAGGGUCAAACGUCACAUCAGAAAUGAUCGGUUCAGGACAGCCGAGGAAAAACCACUACAAUACCAAGACUGUCUUUUUUAGUGUUUCUCUCUGGAUGUAAGAGGAUGAUGUAGCACUUCGGGGCAAAAAUGGCCACCAGCAAUCCAAAACUGGAUGCCAGGAUGGCAAAAAUCUCCACAGCCACUGCAUAUUUCCCUGGUGAGCUGACAUAAGCUGGAACAAACGCAAUCCACACAGCACAAAAGAUCAACAAACUAAAGGUAAUGAACUUUGCUUCAUUAAAACUAUCUGGAAGAUUCCUUGCUAGAAAAGCUAACAUGAAGCUCACAGCUGCCAGAAACCCAAUGUAGCCCAGCAGCACAGCGAAUCCAGCCACUGAACCAAUAGCACAUUCAUAAACUAUUUUGGAGCUGACAUACUGACUGUUUUUAUGAGGUGUUGGAGAUGCAGUUGAGAGCCAAA